RNAcentral lists this ribosomal RNA (908 nucleotides) under uncultured Actinomycetes bacterium. Its description in RNAcentral is "bacterial SSU rRNA". It matches the Rfam family "Bacterial small subunit ribosomal RNA", at positions 42 to 936 of the family's 1533-position model. The record is from RNAcentral. Lineage: Bacteria; Bacillati; Actinomycetota; Actinomycetes.
AUGGGGGCUUAACAUGCNAGUCGAGCGACNAACCAGCCCUUCGGGGCUGGGGAAAGCGGCGAACGGGUGAGUAACACGUGGGCAACCUGCCCUUGGCACCGGGAUAACUCCGGGAAACCGGAGCUAAUACCGGAUGGCCUCCAGAGCCCUCGGGCUCCGGAGAAAAGGUAGCUUCGGCCUCCGGCCAAGGAUGGGCCCGCGGCGGAUUAGCUUGUUGGCGAGGUAACGGCUCACCAAGGCGACGAUCCGUAGCUGGUCUGAGAGGAUGGCCAGUCACACUGGGACUGAGACACGGCCCAGACUCCUACGGGAGGCAGCAGUGGGGAAUCUUGCGCAAUGGGCGAAAGCCUGACGCAGCGACGCCGCGUGCGGGAAGAAGGCCUUCGGGUUGUAAACCGCUUUCAGGAGGGACGAAGCCACUCGGGUUAAUAGCCCAGAGGGUGACGGUACCUCCAGAAGAAGCCCCGGCUAACUACGUGCCAGCAGCCGCGGUAAUACGUAGGGGGCAAGCGUUGUCCGGAUUUAUUGGGCGUAAAGCGCGUGUAGGCGGCCAGGUAGGUCCGAUGUGAAAACUCGAGGCUCAACCUCGAGAGGUCAUCGGAAACCACUUGGCUAGAGUCCGGAAGAGGAGAGUGGAAUUCCCGGUGUAGCGGUGAAAUGCGCAGAUAUCGGGAAGAACACCCAUGGCGAAGGCAGCUCUCUGGGACGGUACUGACGCUGAGACGCGAAAGCGUGGGGAGCGAACAGGAUUAGAUACCCUGGUAGUCCACGCCGUAAACGAUGGGUGCUAGGUGUGGGCGGUGUCGACUCCGUCCGUGCCGAAGCUAACGCAUUAAGCACCCCGCCUGGGGAGUACGGCCGCAAGGCUNAAACUCAAGGAAUUGACGGGGGCCCGCACAAGCAGCGGA